RNAcentral lists this ribosomal RNA (492 nucleotides) under uncultured bacterium. RNAcentral describes it as "partial 16S ribosomal RNA". It matches the Rfam family "Bacterial small subunit ribosomal RNA", at positions 29 to 507 of the family's 1533-position model. The record is from RNAcentral.
AGUGAACGCUGGCGGUAGGCCUAACACAUGCAAGUCGAACGGCAGCACAGUAAGAGCUUGCUCUUACGGGUGGCGAGUGGCGGACGGGUGAGGAAUACAUCGGAAUCUACUUUUUCGUGGGGGAUAACGUAGGGAAACUUACGCUAAUACCGCAUACGACCUACGGGUGAAAGCAGGGGAUCUUCGGACCUUAUGCGAUUGAAUGAGCCGAUGUCGGAUUAGCUAGUUGGCGGGGUAAAGGCCCACCAAGGCGACGAUCCGUAGCUGGUCUGAGAGGAUGAUCAGCCACACUGGAACUGAGACACGGUCCAGACUCCUACGGGAGGCAGCAGUGGGGAAUAUUGGACAAUGGGCGCAAGCCUGAUCCAGCCAUACCGCGUGGGUGAAGAAGGCCUUCGGGUUGUAAAGCCCUUUUGUUGGGAAAGAAAAGCAGCAGGUUAAUACCCCGCUGUUCUGACGGUACCCAAAGAAUAAGCACCGGCUAACUUCGUG